GCACCGGCUAACUCCGUGCCAGCAGCCGCGGUAAUACGGAGGGUGCGAGCGUUAAUCGGAAUUACUGGGCGUAAAGCGCAUGCAGGUGGUUUGUUAAGUCAGAUGUGAAAGCCCGGGGCUCAACCUCGGAAUAGCAUUUGAAACUAGGCAGACUAGAGUACUGUAGAGGGGGGUAGGAAUUUCAGGUGUAGCGGUGAAAUGCGUAGAGAUCUGAAGGAAUACCGGUGGCGAAGGCGGCCCCCUCGGACAGAUACUGACACUCAGAUGCGAAAGCGUGGGGAGCAAACAGGAUUAGAUACCCUGGUAG
Molecule: ribosomal RNA, 307 nt
Filed under: uncultured bacterium
Lineage: Bacteria
Description: bacterial SSU rRNA
Rfam family: Bacterial small subunit ribosomal RNA
Source: RNAcentral